Molecule: non-coding RNA, 69 nt
Filed under: Apocalathium aciculiferum
Lineage: Eukaryota; Dinophyceae; Thoracosphaerales; Thoracosphaeraceae
Source: RNAcentral
UUGAACCACGAGCGUCAUGCUGGCAACAGAGCAGGCCGCCAGGGCACGAGGAGAAGUGUCGCCGAUCCC